RNAcentral lists this ribosomal RNA (429 nucleotides) under uncultured bacterium. Its description in RNAcentral is "bacterial SSU rRNA". It matches the Rfam family "Bacterial small subunit ribosomal RNA", at positions 355 to 776 of the family's 1533-position model. The record is from RNAcentral.
UGGGGAAUAUUGGACAAUGGGCGCAAGCCUGAUCCAGCCAUACCGCGUGUGUGAAGAAGGUCUUAGGAUUGUAAAGCACUUUAAGUUGGGAGGAAGGGUUGUUGCUUAAUACGUAACAACUUUGACGUUACCGACAGAAUAAGCACCGGCUAACUCUGUGCCAGCAGCCGCGGUAAUACAGAGGGUGCAAGCGUUAAUCGGAAUUACUGGGCGUAAAGCGCGCGUAGGUGGUUCAGUAAGAUGGGUGUGAAAUCCCCGGGCUCAACCUGGGAACUGCUUUCAUAACUGCUGAACUAGAGUACGGUAGAGGGUAGUGGAAUUUCCUGUGUAGCGGUGAAAUGCGUAGAUAUAGGAAGGAACACCAGUGGCGAAGGCGACUACCUGGACUGAUACUGACACUGAGGUGCGAAAGCGUGGGGAGCAAACAGG